UCCGUGUUAACCACGGCAGUCUCACAUGAAAAACAACAUGUGAUAAGGGUUGCGCUCGUUACCCCACUGAAGGGAACAGUUCACACCACGAGCUGACGACGACCGUGCAUCACCUGCCUAGCCACUAAGUCUGCCUGUUUCCAGGCGGGCAUAAGCUAGGUUUCAAGACCUGGUAAGGUUCCCCGCUUAUCAUCGAAUUAAACCACACGCUCCACCGCUUGUGCGGGCCCCCGUCUAUUCCUUUGAGUUUUAGCCUUGCGGCCGUACUACCCAGGCGGUCAACUUAACGCGUUAGCUACGACACUGAGAGGGUCGAUACUCCCAAUGCCUAGUUGACAUCGUUUACGGCGUGGACUA
This 357-nucleotide unclassified non-coding RNA is filed under the name uncultured bacterium. Its description in RNAcentral is "contains 16S-23S intergenic spacer region". The record is from RNAcentral.